GUCUAUUUCGGCUAUAGGUGGGAGGUAAAGAAGUUCGAGCAAGGGCAAGUGGUGUCGUCCCUCCCCCUGGACAGGAUCCUACUGGAGAGUGAUGCCCCCUAUUUCAGGCCGUCAUGGGUGCCCAACAACAGCUAUGGGCAUCCCCAGUAUAUUUCCGAGGUGGCAAUGGGGCUGCUUGCGUUUAGGUCAGGGGACACCCUUUGGACAUUGCUGGAGGCCACCACCAGCAAUGCACGGGCACUGUAUAGGGUGUAGUUAGGAAGACGAUUGUAAAUAGGUGUAUAUAAUUUUUGAAUCUGUCCAGAGAGGAAGAUUAUUUUUAAGUUUAUAUUAUUAUUAUUUUCUUGUCAAAAUAACACAAAAGCCCCACCUAAUCAAGGGGGCAACACGAAGGGGUUGAAGUGACUGGGAUCGUUGCGAGAAGGGGUAAGGGGCUGGCUGUACAUUCAAAAAAGGUUUACUUAAUUUAGUAGCCCCAAACAAAUAAAAGUAGUACCUUUGUCUAAUAUGGGCCCCUCUCAUCUGAGGGGGCCCAUCCGGAAAAUUCAACCUCUCUCUCUUUCCGGUACUGAAUUAACGAAGACUUAACAGAAUAACCAGAGACAAUCGCCUUUAUUAAAGACGCCUGAGAGAUAAUCAGCUUCUUUGGGUAAGUGCUCGUAUUUACUCAGGAUCACAACAGAUGUAAGAAUAACUUUCAGAAAGUGACCCGAGAUUUAAACUUGUCCAACAGUUAUAUAUAGAAUUGAUAAGAAUCCAAAAACAGUAAAAUCCACUACGCACUCAAUUGAAUGAUUUUGACGUUUCAAGGACUGAACUAUGUCCUUUACGCCAUCC
Molecule: long non-coding RNA, 837 nt
Filed under: Mytilus galloprovincialis (Mediterranean mussel)
Lineage: Eukaryota; Metazoa; Mollusca; Bivalvia; Mytilida; Mytilidae
Source: RNAcentral